GGACACAGUGAGAAGGCACCAUCUGUGAACCAGAAAGCCAGCCCUCACAAGACACUGAAUCUGCUGGCACCUUGAUCUUAGACUUCCCAGUCUCUGGAACUACUAAAUGGUUUCUAUUGCUUGUCUUCAAGUUUGCUGAGUCCUUCUUCCUCUAGCUCAAACCUGCUGUCGAGCACCUCUAGUAAAUUUUCAUUUCAGGGUUUUGCUGUGUUCUCCAGCCUUGUCUCAAACUCCUGGCCUCAGGUGAUCCUCCCACCUCAGCCUCCUGAGGAGCUAGGAUUACAGGCAUGUACCACCACACCCAGCUGCUUUAAUUAUUUAAACAUAGAUUCCUUUAGACCUUUGAACAUGUUUAUAGUAAAUUAUUUUAAGUCAUUGUCUACCAAGUCCAAUAUCUGAGCUUGCUCAGAGAUAGCUUGUAUGCACUGCUUCUUUUCUGUGUAUGACCACAUUUUUCUAUUUAUUUGUAUGUUUCACCAUGUUUUUGGAAACUAGAAGCUUUGGAUAAAUAUUAUAACAAAUCUGAGUUCUGAUUUGUCUCCCCUAGAGGCUAUUGCUGCAUUUAUUUGUGUGUUUAGUGACUUGCCUGGAUAAAUUAUUUAGAGCCGGUCUCCCCUCCAGUGUGCAAACAUGGAAAUCUUAUUUGUUUGUUUGCUUAAUUCCUGCCUUCAUUUUAAACCUUUUCUAUAGAUUAAGCAUAAUCUGGGUAAGCAUCCUUAAUAGGCAGCCAAUGAUUGGUCAGAGGUUUUGCUUAAACACCUUCAGCCAGUAAGAUUUCUGCCCUUUGGUGUGGUGAGGCACACACUCAGAGGGCAGGCAGUUUACAAGUGUGCCCACCUUCACUUGCUGUUUGUGCAGGGCCUCGUGGUCAGCCAGGAACAAACAGAUAACUGGGCCCUCUCCACUCUCUCCUGCACAUUCCUACACCUUGGGCAAGUGCACAGCAUUCCAGAUUCUUAGAAAUGUGUCAGGUUUAUCAAAGCCCCUAUGGUUGUCUUAUUUCCCAGCUCUUUCUUGUAAAUUUUUGGCUGGUUGCUGCUUUCCCAAGUCAGUGUCACAGACUUAGGUAGCUGUGACAUUGGCCUUCUUUGAUUGUCUGCUAUAGAGAUGGCCUCUGUUUUGACAGUGUUUCUGGACAUUGUGCUUUUCUAUGGAGCUCCAAAUUAGAUCAGCCCCCUCUAGCAGCAGCAAGACUUCUGGGUUUAUGGUUGCCACACCACAGAGUUCAGAGAGAGGUGGGUGGGAGCAGCCCUGUGUUGAAAUGGCACAGACCCCG
RNAcentral lists this long non-coding RNA (1276 nucleotides) under Homo sapiens (human). RNAcentral describes it as "HSALNT0215882". The record is from RNAcentral. Lineage: Eukaryota; Metazoa; Chordata; Mammalia; Primates; Hominidae.